Quercus lobata is the source of this 2401-nucleotide RNA transcript. RefSeq lists it as uncharacterized. NCBI's taxonomy places the organism in Eukaryota, Viridiplantae, Streptophyta, Magnoliopsida, Fagales, Fagaceae. The record is from RefSeq and is a predicted model, not a curated record. The transcript has 2 exons.
AUGCCUUGCUUCCUUCCUUCUUUCUUUUGUUUUCUUUUGUGUUGGAGGAAGGAUUUCUUCUUUGAUACAAUAACAUGAUAAUCUAUUGAGUUGGAUAAGGAAUAUUUUCUUUGGCACAAUGGCUUGAUAAUUCUAUAUAUAUAGUAGAAGUUAUAAAUGGUUUUCAUAUGAACUUAGCCUUAAAAAAUUCGAUACAAAAAAUAACUUGGAAGCUUCUCAAGGUGUGUUUUGAAGCCAAAAUUGGAUUCUUCUUGUUAAGAUAGAUUAGAUGGGGCAGCAGCAGCAACUUCAACAUUUUAUCCAUCCGAACCAUCCCUUGCUCUUCAAUCCAGACGACAGACGUGGAUAUUCUUGUUGGGGGUGCGACGAAUCAGUUUAUGGUCCUACCUAUAGCUGUAAAGAAUGUGGUGGGGGGUACAGUCAUCAUAAAUCAUGUACGGAACUACCCCUUAAGUUGCACCAUCCCUUGCACCCUAUCCAUCCUCUUAUUCUCUUUCCCCCAUGGAGAUACCGGGAAAAUUACAAAUGCGAACUUUGCAAAGCAUAUAAAGCUGAAUACACUUAUCGGUGUUCCCGCUGCGACUUCAACCUUCACAUCACAUGCGCUUCUUUAGCGCCCACCACCAUGGAACCUGAAUUCCACUACCACCCAUUGACCUCCGUUUGGAAGUGGAUCACCUUCACUUGUGACAUUUGUGGCAAAAAAGACGAAUGUACACCCUAUUUGUGUAAUCCAUGCAGUUUCUGGAUUCAUGGAAGAUGUUCUCUUUUCCCACGCAAAGUCAAAGUUGUGCAUCACAAGCACCUCCUCCACCUCAUCCAUUCUUCUCUUGAAUUCCAUCAAUCCGACUCUCAAUUUUGUCAAAUCUGUGUUCAAGAGGUGGACACAUGCUACGGGCUUUACUAUUGCUCCAGAUGUGAUUUUGUUGCCCACUUAAAUUGUGCUAUGGGAAACAAGGAGAACAUAAAUUUGCAAGAAUUUAAAGAUGAGGAUGAAGUUUCAGAGCUCAAUGAAUUGGUUGACUCAACUUACAAAGUCAAAAAAUACAAUAUGAGGGAGGGUGGAAUUCAAAUAGCUGCAGAAAUCAAACACUUCAGUCAUGAGCAUGACUUAAUGCUUACCGAGUAGCUUCUAAAAACCCAAAAAUGCGAUGGGUGCGUAAGAGCCAUUGUCCCUCCGUUUUAUAGUUGUGUAAAGUGUAGCUUCUUUCUUCAUGAAUCUUGUGCUAAUUUACCAAAAAAAAAGCAACACCCACUUCAUCAACACCCACUAUCCCUGCUCCCAAUGAAACCAAGUAAGGAUUUUAGGUGUUAUGCCUGUCAUCGUAAAUGCAAUGGCUUCACCUAUUUGUGUGAGACAUGCCGUUUUAGACUUGAUGUUCAAUGUAGUAUGAUCUCAGAAAUCCUUAACCCCCCUGGUCAUGAUCACACACUUAUUCUCUCCGGUGUUGAAUCUUCUCAGAAUUGCAGCUGUUGUGAUUUUAGAACUUACCCAAUAUUCCGUUGUACCACUUGUGCAUUUGCUUUGGACUUUAGAUGUGCUACACUACCACAUUCUAUAAGAUACAAACAACAUGAGCAUCCCUUUGCUCUCAGUUGUGGAGUUGAAAAUAACUCUGGUGAAUAUUAUUGUAAUAUAUGUGAAGAAAAACGAGACUCAAAGUAUUGGUUUUACUACUGUGAGGAUUGCAGUUAUCUUGCUCAUCCAAAAUGUAUUAUUGGGAAAUACCCAAAUUAUAAGUUUGGAGGUACUUACACAUUUGACUGUCACUCACACCCUCUUACUUUCAUUGAGGAAACUGAGGACCGCCCUCGAUGUAACAAAUGUAAUGAUACUUGUGAAAAGUUGAUCUAUCAAUGUGCUUACUGUAAUUUCUACAUCCACAAGAGUUGUUUAUAAAAAGGACAAAUGUGUUUUUAUUUUAUACUAGAUCUAGUCCACGUAAGUUUUGGUGCAUGGAAUUCAUCAAAUGACAUUGCAGUAAUUCUUUUCAAUGCUCUUUCUUGGCAUCAUGGUUCAAAUACAAUGUAAAUACAUUGUACCAACUCAUGCUUGUUUGUGUCUGGUUGUACCCUGCCUUGUCCACUUUUGUUAGAAACAAUAAGCUUGCUGAUAAUAGGACUUUUCAGUUUUCAAUGUUUUAUGGUAUUACAUUGUUUAGAAAUGGAAGUUGGAUUUCAGUGUGGAACAUAAAGUUCAGGGUUGAUGAACAAAUACUGGAAAUAAAAGGCAAGCUUCCGGUAUCUCUUAUCGGUUGUGUAUGACUACUUUUCCCUAUAUUUUCUAUUUCUAUGCAAUUCCAAUUGCAUUCAUUUUUCUUGAGCUCACAUUAAUUGUCUAUGUCUUCUUCUUCUGCAUUAGGUGAGCAUCCAUUAUUUUGAAGAGGGAAAUGAGCAAUUA